AGAGUUUGAUCAUGGCUCAGAAUCAACGCUGGCGGCGUGCCUAACACAUGCAAGUCGAACGAGAAAGUGGAGCAAUCCAUGAGUAAAGUGGCGACCGGGUGAGUAACACGUGACUAACCUACCUUCGAGUGGGGGAUAACCUCGGGAAACCGGGGCUAAUACCGCAUAAUGCCUUCGGGUUAAAGGAGCAAUUCGCUUGAAGAGGGGGUCGCGGCUGAUUAGCUAGUUGGCGGGGUAACGGCCCACCAAGGCGAUGAUCGGUAGCCGGCCUGAGAGGGCGCACGGCCACACUGGAACUGAAACACGGUCCAGACUCCUACGGGAGGCAGCAGUGGGGAAUUUUGCGCAAUGGGGGAAACCCUGACGCAGCAACGCCGCGUGGAGGAUGAAGUCCCUUGGGACGUAAACUCCUUUCGACCGGGACGAUAAUGACGGUACCGGUGGAAGAAGCCCCGGCUAACUUCGUGCCAGCAGCCGCGGUAAUACGAGGGGGGCGAGCGUUGUUCGGAAUUAUUGGGCGUAAAGGGCGCGUAGGCGGUGCGGUAAGUCACCUGUGAAACCUCUAGGCUUAACCUAGAGCCUGCAGGCGAAACUGCCGUGCUGGAGUGUGGGAGAGGUGCGUGGAAUUCCCGGUGUAGCGGUGAAAUGCGUAGAUAUCAGGAGGAACACCUGUGGCGAAAGCGGCGCACUGGACCACAACUGACGCUGAGGCGCGAAAGCUAGGGGAGCAAACAGGAUUAGAUACCCUAGUAGUCC
RNAcentral lists this ribosomal RNA (756 nucleotides) under uncultured bacterium. RNAcentral describes it as "bacterial SSU rRNA". It matches the Rfam family "Bacterial small subunit ribosomal RNA", at positions 8 to 796 of the family's 1533-position model. The record is from RNAcentral.